CCGGGGGAGGUGACGAAACCGUUACCAUUACUGAGCUUUAGUAAUGGUAAGGGUUAUGUCGCCUCUUCUCAA
MicroRNA precursor from Lepisosteus oculatus (spotted gar), 72 nucleotides. It matches the Rfam family "mir-451 microRNA precursor family". The record is from Rfam. Lineage: Eukaryota; Metazoa; Chordata; Actinopteri; Semionotiformes; Lepisosteidae.